UACGAAGGGGGCUAGCGUUGCUCGGAAUCACUGGGCGUAAAGCGCACGUAGGCGGACUCUUAAGUCAGGGGUGAAAUCCUGGAGCUCAACUCCAGAACUGCCUUUGAUACUGGGAGUCUUGAGUUCGGGAGAGGUGAGUGGAACUGCGAGUGUAGAGGUGAAAUGCGUAGAUAUCUGGAGGAACACCGGUGGCGAAGGCGGCAUCCUGGACCGACACUGACGCUGAGGAGCGAAAGCGUGGGGAGCAAACGGG
Molecule: ribosomal RNA, 253 nt
Filed under: uncultured bacterium
Lineage: Bacteria
Description: partial 16S ribosomal RNA
Rfam family: Bacterial small subunit ribosomal RNA
Source: RNAcentral